This 75-nucleotide transfer RNA is filed under the name Halobacillus sp. BAB-2008. RNAcentral describes it as "tRNA-Gly". The stretch from base 36 to 75 matches the Rfam family "tRNA", at positions 1 to 40 of the family's 71-position model. From Rfam's summary of the family: Transfer RNA (tRNA) molecules are approximately 80 nucleotides in length. The record is from RNAcentral. Lineage: Bacteria; Bacillati; Bacillota; Bacilli; Caryophanales; Bacillaceae.
CGUGGGGGUUCAAGUCCCUCCACCCGCACUUUAAUGCGGAAGUAGUUCAGUGGUAGAACACCACCUUGCCAAGGU